RNAcentral lists this ribosomal RNA (478 nucleotides) under uncultured bacterium. RNAcentral describes it as "partial 16S ribosomal RNA". It matches the Rfam family "Bacterial small subunit ribosomal RNA", at positions 29 to 507 of the family's 1533-position model. The record is from RNAcentral.
AUGAACGCUGGCGGCGUGCUUAACACAUGCAAGUCGGGCGAGAAGUUUUGAAAAGAUUCUUCUGAUGAAAUUUAAAAUGGAAAGCGGCGGACGGGUGAGUAACGCGUAGGCAACCUGCCCCAUACAAAGGGAUAGCAUUUGGAAACGAAUAUUAAUACCUUAUGAAACUUAACUAGUGCAUGCUAGGUAGGUCAAAGAUUUAUCGGUAUGGGAUGGGCCUGCGUCUGAUUAGCUAGUUGGUGAGGUAACGGCUCACCAAGGCGACGAUCAGUAGCCGACCUGAGAGGGUGAACGGCCACAUUGGAACUGAGACACGGUCCAAACUCCUACGGGAGGCAGCAGUGGGGAAUAUUGCACAAUGGGGGAAACCCUGAUGCAGCAACGCCGCGUGAACGAUGAAGGCCUUUGGGUCGUAAAGUUCUGUUCUAGGUGAUGAAAACUGACAGUAACCUAGGAGAAAGCCCCGGCUAACUCCGUG